GUCGAUCAAUCCGAAUCCAAGCCCGUUAUCGAUAAAAAAUCGUUUGCCGUUUCGUUUCCGCGGUUCGGGCCUCCGUGGCCUCCAAGCCGGGACCGAGCUCGCCACAAUGUGUGUGUGCGUGUGAGUUGGGGGAAGGGUCGAGUGUUGUCGGCGUGUUAGCGCGCGUGUGUCGGUCACGUCGCUUCCAUAAUCGCCCUUAACACCUUCCGUUGAACUUAUUGAUUAUUGAUCGGAGCAAAUGCGUUCGGGUUUACAGCACAGAGAGUUGUUUUUUAACGAAACAGUUUGGUGAAUGCGCGUAAAGAACUCCCAAAUUAUAGCUCGAAACCAUGGUAAACGACUUCCAAAUCACGUGUCACCGUGACUUAUAUUUAUUUAUAAAGUUCAACUUAAUCAAUAUUGUUGGGGGCAAAAACAACAGCAAAAUGAUUCUCUUGGCGCUCCAGGACAAGUGGUGGACCUACGUGGCUGUACCGUGACCGCCCGACUCAGCAGGCCGCAGGUCCGGCCAGGGACGGGAGCGAAGGCCCAGCUGCAGUGGCGCCCUCCAGCCGCCUGGUGUCGUUAGUGUCGUUGGGAGCUGACGCGACCUUAUUCUUUGGACUUCGAAGCCAGCAGAAACACGAGCUUUUAAGGUCCGGAAUCCUACAGUUAAACCAAAUGUACGUGAACGUCUUUUGAGAUGAGAAAAAGAUGUUGAGUGGACAGUCGUGACCUUGAACUGGAGAAUGAAAUAAAAUAUGAAACUUCAAUGCCGCACAAACAAAGUGAGGAUCUCAUGUGGUAUCUGGGAAGUCUUCCCUAACCUGCAAGCCAAGGAGGUCCCUCUGGAGUGCCUGGUUUUAACCAUCUCUUGCACUCCCCGCUCAGCCUGUAAUGGAGGAGGUCUUGACGUGCUGCGCUCCCCUGUCAUCACAGGGAGGUUUUGCUCACUGAUCCCUUCCCUCUUGUGAUAUAAAAAGUAUCCUGAUUGUUCUCCAUCGUCUCUCCGUCACCUGACAUUCCUCCUGCUGGGCCACUCCCUCCUUUCUCUCUCCUCCACAUGUGUUGCUCAGCAACCGUCGCACGUCUACAUGCUGAUUUUCUCGCUCUGGAACAGGCUAGUGAAAGAGGAGCAACAGCCUCACCAUGUCACCGUAGCUUUUGAGUGACUGAUGUACUCUCUAUUGGGCUGUACAGUGAUUGUCAAAUCUGUUAGUAUGUGUCUGUUUCCAUCUGCGCAGUCUUGUUUUGUGUGCACGUAAGCCUGAGUGUUGUGGUGUGUGCGCGCCACACAUGAAUGUUUCUGCCUGCACAUCAGCAUGUGGGUUAAGUACAUGUGAACAUGCAGUCCAUGUGAGGGAUUCAGGUUGAACUUCAGACUAACACGCCAAGUGUGUUCAUCAUAAACAUUCCAAGCAGCAGCAGUCAGGUCAAAGGUCAGUGAAGCAUGUUUUCAGUCACAAACUUGUAUGAGUCUAGUGUGUUUGUUUCCCACCCACAGUACACCAUGACACAGGUCCAGCAGUGACAGACUGAGCACACUGCUGCUCUCGCUGGCUAUAUGUGUAUGUGAGUUCAUUAGCUGCGUGUCUUUCUUUCUGCAAGACAAAUUACAGUUGAACACAAAUCCAAAUUUAUGCGCCACAGAAACAGUAAAAAAAAAGGUCAGAUCAGAGAAAUAUUGAGACUCAUGUUGUAACUUUUCUAGUUCUUGAACUACACUUUGGGAAUGGUUGUGAACAUUGUAACUGAUAAUCGACAAUGACUUUUAGUUCUCAGCUUGUUUUAGAUAUACUGUCAAUAUUGUGUUUGAUUUGGGAACCGUCACUAUGAUUGUUGUAAAGGCCAUGAGGAAGCACUACUACUGUGAGCUGCUGUGCAGGAAACAAGACGCAAGGGCAGGUGCUGGAGUUCUGGCCUGAAGCUACAUACAUGAGCUGAGAUAAAGACAAUGACAAAUCAUACAGCCAAGUGCCAGCAGCUCUGAAAAUACCCAGGUUAACCAGCCCGCCAUUCCUACAAAAAAAUUCGUAGGAAUGGCAUUUAUGUGCGUAAGUACAAAAAUAUCUGGAUUUAUCAAGCAUGCGUACACCAGUUCACGCAACACUCACGUAUGGAUUUUGUCACUUGCAUCCAGACUCACCUCCAUUUGACUAUAUACAGUAGCAACAACCCCUUCAAAAAUGUGUGAAUGUUCCACUCCACCGUUACACACAGAGAUGGAAAUAUUGCGUGAGAAUAUAACACAUAAUUAUUAUUAUAGUCAUGUGUGAAAUUUUGCAUGUUCCUAAGCACAAAUACAAACUAACGUGGGCCCUGGUGUCUAGUUUUACCAGUAAAAAUCAGAGUAAAACUAUUCAAUGAAGUUUUCUGUUUCUAUUGGUUUGUUUUUAAGAUACUUGAAAUAAAACUGGAACAUGGUUUCAGUCAGGUUUGACGCAUGAAUCAUGCCAUCUGAUUUAGAUUUCAUUCAAGUUGUAGUCCAAAAUGUAAUUAUUGUUCUUGUGCGUAAGAUCACGUUUAAAAGGUAUUAUUAAAUUUCAGUAUUUUUUCUCCGUUAUGGAGGUUAUGUUUUCAAUCAUGUUCAAAAUAAUGUGAAAAGUUAUGCACAGUUUUGGAUUUAACUUUGAAAGUGAUCGUCAGGUUCCAAGAAUUUUUAAAGAAUUCUUGAAAAUUGGGAAAUAGAAGCGCUUGUUGAAGACACAUGUUGAUCCCAGUUUUAUACUCUAAUUCAUUGGUUCACCAUGUUCAGAUAUUUAAGUUAAGAUAACCGCGGUUGCCUAACUUAGAUCUGUCCUUUUGUUAAAAAAAAAAGAAAAAAAAAGUUAUUUGUCAGAUAGUAGUUGCAAAUGUAUUUUAAUCUUCUACUUUUAUUUUUGCUAAUUUACAUUGGUAAAGUUUGGCCUACUAUUACUGUAAUAUCAAGUUUAUACCCUGUAGUUCUCAACUAAGCAAGUUAAACUGACUUAAGUCUGUUUUAUAUAAUUCAUUUUGUGUUUAGUUGGAAAUAAUACUUGUAAUAAUGUAAUAACGCCUUUUCAGGUUGCUGUUAAAGAUCUUAAUGAAAUGUAUUUAAAACCGAUCUAUUCAGGCAAACAGUGAGCUCUGGUCUUGAAUGGAGAUAAAACUCAGCCCACUGAAGUCAUUAUAGCUCCUGAGAAACAUCAGCAACAGGAGGCGGAGCUACACCUCCUCACUCUUUCUCAAGGGCACGCACCACAGACACCUUAUACUGGAACUCAGCAUCCUCCUCGUCCCCCCAUUUCUGAAGUGACCCUACAUGACCAUCUCCAUCGUCCUACCACAUGUACAUGUAGUCCAACAAGUAUAAAAGAACAGAUCGGGUCAGGUUUUGUAGGGUAGACGAUCAUGACGCUCUUCAUCUUUCAUGUCAACAAGGUCUCCUGAUCAACUCCAGGCAAAUAGACCACAAUAAAUUAAACACUGACGCCGUGUGCAGAAGGAUAGAGUUGAAUUCCUGUUUUAUAAGCUAGGAGAACCGAACGCAUCUCAGACUUAUGCUGCAUUGAUGCCCCGUUAAACUCCCUGCACACCUGAGCUCUGUGCGACCUGUCGACUCUUUUAAGUUGGGCCUGCAAACAGUUAAAACUAGAAAUUCAGUGCAGUCCAUUGUCCAGGUGAGAAGUGGACACUGCUGUGCAGCGUGUCAGGUUAAAGAACCAAAGCUGUCUAAUGGUUUUCAUGUCUGAAAUAAUGUUUAUUGAGCACAUAGUAUGCGUUUUAUCCAGCCACCCAGUGUGUCAGUGUUUCUCGCUUAUGUCAGCCAUUGUUAGUUGUCAUAUGCAACACUCUUCUCUCACAUAACUACUUGUGUCCCACAGUACUCUUAGUACUCUCUCUUAUGUUUCCCAUGUGUUAGUACGGUAGGUGUGAAUGAAUGAACAUCUAGCUUGUGGUUUCUUUAAGGUUUUGUCAAAUACAAAACUUUCCAUUUUACAAACUUCUUCGAAUCAAAUCUAUAUUAACCUCUGCUGUUCCGGCCGUGAGGCAACAUGAAGGUCACCUGUUCUAACCUAGCUUGGGGCGACUCUGGGCUUGACUGGACCUGCGUCCUCUGCAGUUCCUAAGUUCUUCCUUUGCUGCGUGAUGACUCCACUCUCUUCUGUGUUGUAAAUGACUUGCCUACCUGCAAUAA
Molecule: long non-coding RNA, 4138 nt
Organism: Synchiropus splendidus (mandarinfish)
Lineage: Eukaryota; Metazoa; Chordata; Actinopteri; Syngnathiformes; Callionymidae
Exons: 4
Source: RefSeq, a predicted model, not a curated record